Molecule: non-coding RNA, 1688 nt
Organism: Amborella trichopoda
Lineage: Eukaryota; Viridiplantae; Streptophyta; Magnoliopsida; Amborellales; Amborellaceae
Source: RefSeq, a predicted model, not a curated record
UUCUUUUUUUUGCGAAGUUGGGGUCCAGUCCUAUUUUUUAACUUUGGAUUGGCCCCAACAUUUCUCAUAUUUUGUCAAGUUUGCCCAUCAGACCAAUCUUUAGACUUUAAAACACCCAAUUUUCUAUAAAUUUCCUUCCUUUUCUCUCUCUCUAAAUCUCUCUCCGUCUACCUUGCUUUGCCUCUGUAACUCCCCCCUCUCCCCUGGCCUCUCUCUCCCCAUCGCCAAAGACAUAUGUAUCUCCAUCACAAAGAAGAAGACGAUUUUAGUUCUGAUUUGUAAAUCCCAACAUCGUAACAAUAUUUAGUCUUAAAACCCCCAAUUUUUUACUUCAAUUCUGAUUGGAUUGCAUUUCCCACCCUCUGAAUCAAUUUCGUGGCUGGUGUUUCUCAUUGAUGAUAUGCCCCACCUUAAAGCGAUGAAUUUUGAUUGUUGGAUAUCCAAAAUCAUAUGAGUUGGACAUUUGAGUGUUUUUUUUUACUCUGCUGCCUAAUGGUGAGGACCGAAAGGUUAGAGUAGGCAAGUCAUGAGCGAAAUGAUAAAGAAAUCCCACUAAAAAUAGAAGCCCUUCACACAAUGUUGCCUACUACAGUCAAGAGCUCGACCUCAUUGAUAUUAAAAAGGUUAGCACAACCACAAGUAUUUUGUCACAAUUUUUAAUUUCAUUGAAUAAAUCUAGCAUAAAAAUUUAAUUAUUUGUAUGACUAUUUGUGGGUUUCACAUUAUACUUAUAAAAUGAAGCUUAUUAUUUUAAAAUUGUAGGUUUAGUGGCAGCCAUAUAUCAUGGAACUAAAUAGGGGCCAAAUGGAUUAGGAUGGUUGGGAAGCAUCUAAUGAUGCUUUCACCUCCGGAAUGUGCAAUUCAUUUCUUAUUUUUGAUAUACCAGAGCGAGUGCUUCGUCAGUUUGGCUACAAGUAAGAAAGUCCAAAUAAUCCUAAGAGCUGGGAACAAGGAGAGUGGCAUGGUAGGUUGGUGGCUUGAUGGGUACAGGAGCUAGCCACACAAAUCCAAAUAUGGAAGGAUCAAUAAAAUUAUUGGGCUGGGGGUGUUGAUGUUGAAGCAGACACUGAUGAUGGGGUGCCUUCCGUAGAGUAGAUGCAAUGGUUCUAGAGGGUGUCUAGACCGAUGAUUUGGGCCCUACAUUUCCAAAGGAAGUAAUAUAUAUCCCGAGAAGAUAUCCCAACAACUUGAGCAUAUGAUUAACAGGGUACAACGCAUGCUGCAAUACCUCACUUUUGUGCUAGCUUCAAAUGAUAUGGAACCCCUUAUUCGAGAGCACGUAAUAGCUGCAUGUUGAGAGCUAUCCAUCCAGGAGGUGCAUGCAGUCGAGGAGGUAGAUGAGGAGGAGGAGGAGAUAAAUGAGGAAAUAUAUGAGGAGGCGGACAAGGAGGCAACAGACGAGGUCCCCGUGCUUGCGCUUGUAGAGGCAGUAGAGGUGGCGACCUUGCCUGAGCCCAUGGAGGUAGAGUGCCGAUUCAAUUUCCAAAUACGAUCGAGUCAAGACAUUACAUACUGGUAGGAAUACACCUGAAUAAGUCAUCUUGUAAGCAGCUAUAGAGAAAAAAGACUGGCAAAAUGCACCUACUAGAAGGUGACAGUGGUCUAUAGUAACAAUUGCAUGACUGCAAGGUGAACCAUUAAUCUUUUACACAAUGAAUGUACAAGUCCACUGUUCAAAAUUUAUGGCA